UAACGAAGGGGGCUAGCGUUGCUCGGAAUUACUGGGCGUAAAGCGCACGUAGGCGGCUCUUUAAGUCGGAGGUGAAAUCCUGGAGCUCAACUCCAGAAUUGCCUUCGAUACUGAAGAGCUCGAGUCCGGGAGAGGUGAGUGGAACUGCGAGUGUAGAGGUGAAAUUCGAUAGAUAUCAGGAGGAACACCGGUGGUGUAGACGGCUUUCUGGACCGUAACUGACGCUGAGACACGAAAAGCGUGGGUAGGCAAACAGGG
Molecule: ribosomal RNA, 258 nt
Filed under: uncultured bacterium
Lineage: Bacteria
Description: partial 16S ribosomal RNA
Rfam family: Bacterial small subunit ribosomal RNA
Source: RNAcentral